RNAcentral lists this microRNA precursor (100 nucleotides) under Marmota monax (woodchuck). The stretch from base 11 to 90 matches the Rfam family "mir-199 microRNA precursor family". Rfam says of the family: This family consists of the microRNA (miRNA) precursor mir-199 which appears to be specific to humans. Animal miRNAs are transcribed as ~70nt precursors and subsequently processed by the Dicer enzyme to give a ~22nt product. Lineage: Eukaryota; Metazoa; Chordata; Mammalia; Rodentia; Sciuridae. The record is from RNAcentral.
UGGAGAUCCUGCUCCGUCGCCCCAGUGUUCAGACUACCUGUUCAGGACAAUGCCGUUGUACAGUAGUCUGCACAUUGGUUAGACUGGGCAAGGGACAGCA